This is a long non-coding RNA of Nerophis ophidion (straightnose pipefish), 1362 nucleotides long. RefSeq lists it as uncharacterized. NCBI's taxonomy places the organism in Eukaryota, Metazoa, Chordata, Actinopteri, Syngnathiformes, Syngnathidae. The record is from RefSeq and is a predicted model, not a curated record. The transcript has 2 exons.
UGUGGGAGCAGGAUUUGGUUUGCAGAAGGAGAGCUGCAGACCAAGUCCAAAAACACUUGAGGCAGCCAUUUGCUUUCACAAUCAACAACUCCUCCUUUCAAUAAAAACACGUACAUAAAACACAAACGACUUACACUGCAUUCAGUGCAAACUGUCACGUUCGGAAGGCAUUGUGAUGCGUGGGGAUGUCAACUCAAGAUGCACGGGACCAGACAAGCAAGUUAGCAGAUGGAGUCGCGGGGGCAGCAGUCAAAGCAGGGAAGCUUUCCACCAUUAUGGCCUCUGUCUAUGGAACAGCUUGCCGGAGGACCUCAGGGCUGCGGAGAACGUUCAUGUUUUAAAGAGCCAGCUUGAGAGCCACCUUUUUUGAUUCGGCUUUUACCUGAUAUUUCAUUGAAGUCAUUUUUAUUUUACUUUUUAUCCUGUUAGUUAUACAAAAUUGUAUUUAGUUAUAUUUAUUUACUGUAUAUUCAUUUUAUUUUCUUAUAAAUUUUCAUGUCUUAGUUGUAUUUGAUUCUUUAUCUUUACACAUGGUUGUUGCUAUUAUACAAGUUGUAUUAUUUUUACUUUCCAGCAUUCCUCAGAGGGAGCCAACUGCCUCAGGGGUUAUCGGCCGUGCUUGUUUCAGCGUCCUGGUGGCCAUGGUCUGAUGACCUCCUGGUGCAGAUGGCUCCUGUGAUAGUGUUUACUCACAUGUCUCCUCUGUACUCAGCCAUGCAAUCAUUGGUCCACAUAGGUGCAUAUGUGCGUAUGUUGUGUGUGUGUGCGUGUUUGUCUGGUAUCUGUAUCCGUGCGUACGUAUGUGAAAAUAAGGAAUAUGGGUCAUCGGGGUAUUUAUUUUUAACUUUGUAAAGCCUUUUGCGUUGCAUUUCAUUUAUGCAUGAAAAGCACUUUAUAGUUUGAUUGAUUGACAUCACUAAUUUUUCAUAUUUUGGACAUGUCAAAGCAAGGCUAAGACAUUCCUUAACAAUUUAGUUGUAUAUUAAAAUGAAGUCAUUAAGCAUUAAAACAAUGUUUAUGAUAGUCAAAGAUCCUCUGAAUGACAAAAGGGCUUAGUACAAGAACGCUGGUCAAAGACCCUCUUUAACUUCCACAAUAAAGAGCCAACGUCCUCUUUUGAGUUUAUUUACACAAUUUGGAAAACAUGUGCACACAAAACUGUCUACUACAGAGGAUCAUGGAUCUGUGUCUGAAGGACUGACAGCAAAAAGGCUAAUUGGUGAUGAGUAAACGGCACCUUAGCGAUUGCGUGGCACACUCACUAGGUGUAUCGACACUGCACUGAUACUGUUUCAUAAUGUCACCAUGUGCUGGAUGUCAAGUCUCUACAUUUGACCUGAAAAUAAAAAUAGUUGGCAACCA